UUAAAUACACAAACAUUAACAAAAACUGAUGAGUGAAAAAAAGGCUUUAAGUAAAUUUACAAUUUUGUGUUGCACUGCAUUUAUAGCCAUGCUGAGCCACCUGUGGUCUAUGAGCUGUGGAUUGGACACCCCUGUGGCCAAAGGCACUUGGCAUCUCUUUAGCAGUCUUUUUAAUUUUUUUUUUACUUUUAACGUAUUGAUCCUUAGAGAAGGACACAUCAAUCUGUUGUUCUAGCCAUCCAUGCACUCACUGGUUGUACUUACCAGUAUGUGCCCUGACCUGGGAUCAAACCCACAAGCCUGGUGCACUGGGCCAACGCUCUAACCAGCUGAGCCACCUGACCAGGACAAGCAGUCUUACCUUGAGCAACUUCAACUUUAGAAAUGAGAACCCCAAAAGGCACUCCCAGCUCCUCCAGAGCAGUCUUUCUGCCUAUCAAGGAGAGGGAGCCUGUUCACCCUGGAAGCAGUGGCAAGGAUUUUCUUGACCGAACUCUACUCAGUCUUCUCUGAAUUCUCUUCUCCACUACACCCUGACUUCAUCUUUGCAUUGUCCAGUUUCAGCAAGAAUCCUGUUAAGUUAGUGCAGCCAGAAAGUCCUAUUCUCGGUAUUUGAUUGGGUCCCUCAAAUGCCAGCAUCCCUCAGGUGAUGUUUAUUCACCUUGGCCUGCCUUCAGUAAAAAAAUCCUGUUAGAUGACUGAUGCUUUCUCCUUACUAAAUCCCGCCACCCUCUCCCCUCACUCCCUCUGUGUGUCUGUCUGUGUCUCACAGGCUGGCUGUCCGGUGCAUGAUUGGCUCCAGCCCACAGCAGAUUUUGGGGGGAGAAGCUGGACAUUUUACCUCUAUUUCUCUUCCCUUAGCUCUGGCCUCCUGGCGUGUCUAAAUGAGCCUUUGAAGAAAGUAUUGAAGCCAAGGAGAUGCUGGCUUCCCUCCUUGAUGUAGACACCAGGGGAAUGUGGAUCUUCACCUCAUUCUGACCUAUGUCCGGGCUGACAGCAAGUAAGAGAGUUUAGCAGACAUCAUCCCCAUGGGAACUCCAUGGCCCCAGGUGUCUGAGAUCCACAAAGUGAGAUGCGCAGACUUCAUCCCAGUGUGGCUACAAGCCAUAAAGCUAGAGCCAGUGUUUAUGGAGCACCUGUUACAUGCUGGACAUGGUCACAGGAGCUUUACAAACACAAUCUCAUCUAAUCCUGUGUGUCAGCUCUGAACUUGGAGCUAUGACAAUCCUCCCAUCACAGAUGAGGCAGAGGUAAAGCUCAUCUAGUUAAGCAGCGGUGGAGCCAGGAUUUGAGACAAUGAUUUUGGUCCCACGCCUGUGGAGAACCAAAUUCAUCCUAGUUUAUAUUUGUUAUGGAAUGAAUGUUUUUGUCCCUCCAAAAUAGAGUUAAGACAGAAAUCCUGGGAAAAGUAUAAAUUUGUCCUUUAAACCUCUGUUGGUUGCAAUCAUUGAAAACUGCCUAGACAGAAGAAGACCAGAACUAAAUUAGCCAGGUUGUGGUUGCUACACAGACUUGCUAACUUCUGUACAUUCAGCUUUGAGGAGAGGAUGAUGAGAUGGAAGGGCCCCACAGCUAACCAGGAGGCACUGUGAAACAGGAAGGUGUAGGGCAGCUUUGAAAAUGCUGGUGUCCCCAUAGCAUGGAUGGAUGGAUCUGGAGAGCAU
Long non-coding RNA from Phyllostomus discolor (pale spear-nosed bat), 1664 nucleotides. RefSeq lists it as uncharacterized. NCBI's taxonomy places the organism in Eukaryota, Metazoa, Chordata, Mammalia, Chiroptera, Phyllostomidae. The transcript has 3 exons. The record is from RefSeq and is a predicted model, not a curated record.